Gasterosteus aculeatus aculeatus (three-spined stickleback) is the source of this 3478-nucleotide long non-coding RNA. The record is from Ensembl. Lineage: Eukaryota; Metazoa; Chordata; Actinopteri; Perciformes; Gasterosteidae.
UGCACCAGGAGGUGAAAUCAUUCCACUGAGGAAUCCGUAUAUGCCGCCCCGGACCUUACAUAUAUAUAAACAUAUCCAUAUUUAUAUAAUCAGAAAUGAAUCAAACAAGAAUAAGAAUACUUAUACUAACACUUUGAUGUAUGGAAUGAGGAUAAUAGCCUUAGUACAUGGCAGAUGACCCAGUACAGUAGCAGUAUUAUGUGUCCCCUUAUAUGUCCCCCUAUCGGUCUCCUCUCCAAAGCCCCGAGGAGUGGGGGUCAGUUGCUCCCUGUGUUAGGACUUUUGUUCUGGAUGGAGUUGGUUGCUAACUUCAUUCUGUAAUCUGUUGGAUGAUGAGCUGUUUUUUUGGUGCUUUCGCUCGGUUAUCACACUCAAGCUAAAACUGAAGCAACAACGAAAAAGGAUACGAGUUGUGUAGUCAAACAUCUUUGUUUAUAGACCAAUAUCAAGUCAAACCUUGGUAUCAUAAUCUUGUAACAUCGCCGUUACAGCGUUAGUUUCAAUUCUCGCAAAAACAAAGCUUAUGGGAAUUGUUACUUGAAUGUUUAAUUCACAAAUAUACACUUUAAAAGAAUCCAAGAUACAAUUUGGUAGCCAGCAAGUUCAAAAGACACCAUAGCUAUCCACCCCCACCCUCCCCCCAUUGGAGAAAGACAAGGGCCCAACGUCCCCCCUAAACCCUGAACCCUCAUGGACUUGGAACUGGUAAGUGGUUGAGUGUGAAAGUCUGUGAGGGCUUUAAGUGGUGUAAAUAUGAAUGGACCAGCACUUUGCUGUCACGUCACCAUGACAACAAAUUAAAGGCAUUUAUUUCAUACUUUUUACUCGCAGAUAUCAACGUCUUUCAGGCUCUUUCUUCAUUCGAUGAAAGUUCAUUUUAAAUAAUGUUUUCCUGUUUAUUUGUCAAAAUAGCCUGAAUGACAAAAUAAAAUAUUCAAUGAAUAAAUUAGUAAAUAUCGACUCAUUUCGGGUGGGUUUUACUCCGUCUUUAAUCCCCUACAUUUUAAAUGUAUACAUUCUAUUAUGUCUGAACAUACAUGUGCUGGUUAUCCCGUUUGGUCGCCACAUUGCAAUGACUUGUGUGUAAAUCCUUUGGGCAAAGUCAGUAUCCGAUGCUGCUUAUAAAGAGUUCAUAAAGGGCUCCGUGUGAGCCAGAGAGCCUCAAACACUCAACACUGUUACAACCCUAAACCCUCACGGAGUUAGUGGGAGCGCGCUUCAAAGUCUGUGUCUUUAACGGGGGAGAUUGGGAUUUGGCCCAAAUAGGCAGUUGUGCACGUAGCAUUAAUACUUCUCAGGUCAAUCAACACUACGUCUUGCUGGGCUAGCACAGAAAAAUGUCCCCUUCAAAACACAAAAUGUAUCGAUUUUUUUAACAAAUUCCUAUGGUAUGUGUCACAGCUAAAACAUAGAAAUAGUUGUUCUAUGACCUCUCGUUGUGAGUAAUGUUUUAGUGUGUGUUUCUUUGCUCUCAGAGAUUCCUCUGAAGUCAGAAAAAGCAGUCUUAAAACUUCAUGAAGGGUUCUCUGUGGGGAUUAACUCCGCACGCAGAGAACUUCAAAUCAAAAUCAAAUCAAAAGCUGUCUGUUUGUAAAUGUGGAGUUCAGGUCAGCAAAGGUAAGGGAGGAUGGUUUUGUGGGGUGUUUCCGCCGUAUUGCAUCAUGCAAUAUUCUAUCCUUCUGUGAGAAUGCUUUCCCCGUUUACUCACCAAUCUGUAAAAUGACAUGGUUCACACAACAACCAGAUAUCAGAAAUAUUCUCAGACUAAACUAGAUGGCCUCCUCACACUCGCUUAUAGGAAGAGCUUUGUUUCUCUGCUCCCCCUUCACCAAAUUAAAGAAACCCUAAACAAAGAGGCGGCGUGAUUUCCCCAUUGGCAGAGAGCUCUGCUGUGAUCACGCCUGAGGACUUGGCUUUCACAAAUAACAGAAUGUCAUUGGUUGUUUAGACGGACAAUAAGCAAUGACACCAUCUCAGCGGCCGCGCUAAUAAUGUCCAUCAAGUGAGAUGAGAGCAUGCGAGUAUCAGAGAAGGACAUGAAAGUCUAGAAUGUGAGAUGUGUGUGUGUCACAUACAGUCAAAAGGCUUCAUGCGUGAUCCGUUAGGUCCACAGACACCUGCAGACUGCAGCGAACAUUGUGAUGCAGUGAUGCAGACCAAUGCUCAGUAGAAUGAUAUUGAGAAGUAUCCUGUGGAGUUUCUGACCGCUACUCAGCAAUGUGUUGUUAUGCAUCUUGUGUUGUACGAGUAGCGUAAACACAAUCCUGCAAACUGUUUCAUGCUGACAGUCUGUUGCUCAAAGCAACAAGAGAAUCUAGGAGAUAAGAUGACUUUUGGAUAGCGUGGAGAGAGAGAAUGUUUCACCAAAUGCUUUGCAAAUGCUGCAGAUGGCAGAAGGCAAAACAAAAAAGCAAUUCAGUGCUCCACAUAAAAUCAUUAAAUACAUCAGGCAAAAGGAAAGUAAAUUUAAAAACAAAUUUUUGUCCAAGCUUGAAUUUGGUUCCAACCUGGUCAAAAUCGAGCCAGAACCAACUUCCAACCUGGUCUUGCUUCUUCAAAAUAAUUUAUUGUGAAGAGGAGCAGAGCUUUGUUAGUGACUACUCUCCAGUAAAGCAAGUACUAAUGCAGAGAGGAAAAGUGAGUAGAAAGGAAUAACUUAUUGUUAAAAUGUGUAAUCUUUUACAGUUUCGAAGAAAAGAAAAAUAUACCCAAUCACCAUCCGGUCGGACAGAAAUUGAAUCAGUUUCAUCACAGCCGUGUCGUUCGGAACUUCGUCGUCCAAAAUUUGCAGCGCUACAUUUGCCGACCAAAAAUGCACUGUGUCUUUCCCAUAACGGAACAAAUACUAAAUAUUAUUGACAAUUACACUUUAGAAAAUUGCCUGUAUCUGUGGGUUUAAACGAGCUAGCUAAUGAAUUCUUGCAGCCAAACUAAUUCAAAUGAUCGGCCUGUUACAAGCUGAGCAUUCCAGUUUCUCUCUGUACAAUGUUUUUAUUUUGAAGUAAUUCAAUUCAUUAUAUUUUGUAAAGCCCAAAAUUACAAAUUACAAAACUCCCUCAGAGGGCUUUACAGUCUGUACACAUUUGAUAUUCCCUGUCCCAAAUCCCUCGGCACGGAAAGAAAUCCCCCAAAAAUUAAAAACCCUUUCAUGGGGAGAAAAUAAUGUACUACGGCUUAGUUUCCUUAUGUCAUCCGAUAUUGCCAGUCAUUACUCCAAACAUCUGGCAAAAUGUCCUUCCUAGGUGAAACCCAUGGUUACUCAUCCAUCCAUGUUUGAUUUACGCGCGCGCAUCAACCUGAUUUGCGCUCUCGAAUUUUGACAAUGAUUUGACGCCAUUGUAUGGGUUCUUAAGGCUCGCGUGCCUCUGUCUUCUCAAGGCAAUGCGGUUGAGGAAGCUGUCACUCAUGAUGACACGCCCCUCCCAGUUUUUGCCCGCCUCCUGUGCCACAUCAGGGUCAAAAGUUUUGAAUCUGAAAA